This 484-nucleotide ribosomal RNA is filed under the name uncultured bacterium. Its description in RNAcentral is "partial 16S ribosomal RNA". It matches the Rfam family "Bacterial small subunit ribosomal RNA", at positions 29 to 507 of the family's 1533-position model. The record is from RNAcentral.
AGUGAACGCUGGCGGCAGGCCUAACACAUGCAAGUCGAACGGCAGCACAGUAAUUGCUCGUGCUUACGGGUGGCGACGGGCGGAUGAUGCCUGAGUACCUCCCAAUCUACUUUUUCUAGGGUGAUGACGCAGGCGAACAUACGCUAUUAGCGCAGACGACCAACGUGUGGGAGCUUCGGAUCUUCCGCCCUUGCAUGAGUCGAGGAGGGAUUAGCUGGUUGGGGGGGUAAAGGCCUACCAAGGCGACGAUCCGUAACUGGUCUGAGAGGAUGAUCAGCCACACUGGAACUGAGACACGGUCCAGACUCCUACGGGAGGCAGCAGUGGGGAAUAUUGGACAAUGGGCGAAAGCCUGAUCCAGCCAUGCCGCGUGGGUGAAGAAGGCCUUCGGAUUGUAAAGCCCUUUUGGUGGGAAAGAAAAGCAGUAGGUUAAUACCCCGCUGUUUUGACGGUACCAAAAGAAUAAGCACCGGCUAACUUCGUG